Oryctes borbonicus is the source of this 159-nucleotide small nuclear RNA. It matches the Rfam family "U12 minor spliceosomal RNA". Rfam says of the family: Although the U12 sequence is very divergent from that of U2, the two are functionally analogous. The record is from Rfam. NCBI's taxonomy places the organism in Eukaryota, Metazoa, Arthropoda, Insecta, Coleoptera, Scarabaeidae.
GUGCCUUAAACUAAUGAGUAAGGAAAAUAUAUGAGCCUUGGUGACGCUUGGCUUUAUGCUAGUGCUCAUCUAGCCCGUAUAAUUUUUUGAGGGGCACAGGUCGUCCUCGUGAAUAGCUGCCUACUUUUGCAGUGGUUCAGUGUGACAGCGAUCUACCCC